This is a long non-coding RNA of Myxocyprinus asiaticus (Chinese sucker), 871 nucleotides long. RefSeq lists it as uncharacterized. The record is from RefSeq and is a predicted model, not a curated record. The transcript has 6 exons. Lineage: Eukaryota; Metazoa; Chordata; Actinopteri; Cypriniformes; Catostomidae.
UGCAGGUGGAGCUGGAGGGAUAAGGAACUACCUCCACCUCCACAGUAUCUGGCUCCUCACUCAUGCUGGAGUCAAAUUGGUGAAGGGGGAAUUUCAUUUCACCCUAUAUGGAGUCAGUGAAGGGGGGAACAGAUCUAAAGCACUGCUGCUGUUUCUUACCUUCUCUGGACACAGGAGAACUGACAGAUGCACAGCAGGACGAGACAGACUUGUUGGGGAACUGGACCCUGUCCUGGAACUAUGAAUUCAAAGACACGGAGAUGUCUUAUUUCAGUUCCUUUGAUGAAGAAUUAUGAAGCUAUGAAAUACGAACAUCAAGCCUCCAACCUGACUUCCAUGUGGAAAUGCCUUCAAUUGAUGCCAUUCUAAAACCAGAUGAGUGCAGAGCAGUUACUGCCCCCUGAUAGCAUUCUUUAGGUUGGAGACCUGUACAGACAGUAGAAGAAAAGCUUUGGUGUCCACCACUCUAAUCCACUCAAGCCGAUCUAUCCGUCCAACUGGAUACCAGUGCAACACAUACUCAGUUCUAUGGCCUGCAAUGGCGAGCGUCGACCAGAAGAGGGCAAUACUAUGAUUAUUCAAGAAAGGAGAAACGCAGGGGGCUUCUCUAUCAGCGGCUCAUUUUCUCCACAUGCCAUUUUCAACUACACACAACGCUUGCAGAACAGUGAUGUCAUCAAGUUGACCCACGUGAAACACAGGUGGAGCGUAUCCAUCUACAAAACUAUUCAGACUCCAAUCACUCCACAGACCUACUGUAUGGUUUAUUUUUCUCCUGAUCUGGAACUCAUAAUUGGUAUACGGCUGCAGUGAGGAUAUGUUCAAAUUGCUCUCUGCAUCAGUCUGCCAAAAAGAGACAAUACAACGUGUC